Molecule: ribosomal RNA, 220 nt
Filed under: uncultured bacterium
Lineage: Bacteria
Description: partial 16S ribosomal RNA
Rfam family: Bacterial small subunit ribosomal RNA
Source: RNAcentral
CGUACGGGUGAGUAACACGUGGAUCAUGCACCUUUUAGUGGGAAUAACUUUGGGAAACCGAAGAUAAUACCGCAUAAGCCCGAGAGGGGAAAGCAGCAAUGCGCUGAAAGAGUAGUCCGCGGCUGAUUAGCUAGUUGGUGAGGUAAGAGCUCACCAAGGCUUUGAUCGGUAGCCGGCCUGAGAGGGCACACGGCCACACUGGCACUGAAACACGGGCCAG